This 136-nucleotide small RNA is filed under the name Kangiella sp. Its description in RNAcentral is "RtT sRNA". It matches the Rfam family "RtT RNA". From Rfam's summary of the family: This family represents a bacterial cis-regulatory element known as RtT RNA. The exact function of RtT is unknown although it is thought that it may be involved in changing the cellular response in relation to amino acid starvation. The record is from RNAcentral. Lineage: Bacteria; Pseudomonadati; Pseudomonadota; Gammaproteobacteria; Kangiellales; Kangiellaceae.
UUGCAAAAUCGCAAGGGAGGGCUGAGAACCCUCGGGUUCGAGCCGAGCUGCUUAGCUGCGAGACAACAUCGGAGAACGAAGUGACGAUGAUCCGAAGGACAAGCGCGAAGCGCGCGUAAUCCCUCCCUCAAAAGAG